This 287-nucleotide ribosomal RNA is filed under the name uncultured bacterium. RNAcentral's name for it is "partial 16S ribosomal RNA". It matches the Rfam family "Bacterial small subunit ribosomal RNA", at positions 773 to 1060 of the family's 1533-position model. The record is from RNAcentral.
GUGGAUUAGAUACCCUGGUAGUCCUAGCCGUAAACGAUGGGCACUAGGUGUGGGGGGUCAUCGACUCCCUCCGUGCCGAAGCUAACGCAUUAAGUGCCCCGCCUGGGGAGUACGGCCGCAAGGCUAAAACUCAAAGGAAUUGACGGGGGCCCGCACAAGCAGCGGAGCAUGUGGCUUAAUUCGACGCAACGCGAAGAACCUUACCAGGGCUUGACAUGCAGGGAAAAACGGCGGAAACGUCGUGUCCGAAAGGGCCCUGCACAGGUGGUGCAUGGCCGUCGUCAACU